RNAcentral lists this ribosomal RNA (212 nucleotides) under Paenibacillus sp. D10. RNAcentral's name for it is "partial 16S ribosomal RNA". It matches the Rfam family "Bacterial small subunit ribosomal RNA", at positions 1128 to 1339 of the family's 1533-position model. Lineage: Bacteria; Bacillati; Bacillota; Bacilli; Caryophanales; Paenibacillaceae. The record is from RNAcentral.
AGGGUGGGCACUCUGAAUUGACUGCCGGUGACAAACCGGAGGAAGGCGGGGAUGACGUCAAAUCAUCAUGCCCCUUAUGACCUGGGCUACACACGUACUACAAUGGCCGGUACAACGGGCCGCGAAGCCGCGAGGCGGAGCCAAUCCUUAAAAGCCGGUCUCAGUUSGGAUUGCAGGCUGCAACUCGCCUGCAUGAAGUCGGAAUUGCUAGU